UUACUGCUAUCGAGGUUCGACUAAGCCAUGCGAGUCGAAUGUAGCAAUACAUGGCGUACUGCUCAGUAACACGUGGACAACCUACCCUCAGGUCGGGGAUAAACCCGGGAAACUGGGUAUAAUACCCGAUAGAUCUCGGCUGCUGGAAUGCAUCGAGUUCCAAAGCUCCGGCGCCUGAGGAUGGGUCUGCGGCCUAUCAGGUAGUAGUGGGUGUAGCGUACCUACUAGCCUACGACGGGUACGGGUUGUGAGAGCAAGAGCCCGGAGAUGGAUUCUGAGACACGAAUCCAGGCCCUACGGGGUGCAGCAGGCGCGAAAACUUUACAAUGCCGGCAACGGCGAUAAGGGGACCUCGAGUGCCAGGUUACAAAUCUGGCUGUCGUGAUGCCUAAAAAGCAUUGCAUAGCAAGGGCCGGGCAAGACCGGUGCCAGCCGCCGCGGUAACACCGGCGGCUCGAGUGGUAACCGUUAUUAUUGGGUCUAAAGGGUCUGUAGCCGGCCGGAUAAGUCUCUUGGGAAAUCCAGCAGCUCAACUGUUGGGCUUUCAGGA
This 550-nucleotide ribosomal RNA is filed under the name uncultured Methanosaeta sp. Its description in RNAcentral is "bacterial SSU rRNA". It matches the Rfam family "Archaeal small subunit ribosomal RNA", at positions 24 to 579 of the family's 1478-position model. Lineage: Archaea; Methanobacteriati; Methanobacteriota; Methanomicrobia; Methanotrichales; Methanotrichaceae. The record is from RNAcentral.